CAGUAGCCGCGGUAAUACAGAGGGUGCAAGCGUUAAUCGGAUUUACUGGGCGUAAAGCGUGCGUAGGUGGCUGUUUAAGUCGGAUGUGAAAGCCCUGGGCUUAACCUGGGGGCUGCAUUUGAUACUGGUUGGCUUGAGUUCGGAAGAGGGUUGUGGAAUUCCCAGUGUAGAGGUGAAAUUCGUAGAUAUUGGGAAGAACACCGGUGGCGAAGGCGGCAACCUGGUCCGAUACUGACGCUGAGGCGCGAAAGCGUGGGAAGCAAACAGGAUUAGAUACCCCCGUAGUCCCUGUCUCUUAUAC
This 301-nucleotide ribosomal RNA is filed under the name uncultured bacterium. RNAcentral's name for it is "partial 16S ribosomal RNA". It matches the Rfam family "Bacterial small subunit ribosomal RNA", at positions 509 to 807 of the family's 1533-position model. The record is from RNAcentral.